This 408-nucleotide ribosomal RNA is filed under the name uncultured bacterium. Its description in RNAcentral is "partial 16S ribosomal RNA". It matches the Rfam family "Bacterial small subunit ribosomal RNA", at positions 28 to 526 of the family's 1533-position model. The record is from RNAcentral.
GACGAACGCUGGCGGCGUGCUUAACACAUGCAAGUCGAACGAAGAGGCGAACGGGUGAGUAACGCGUAAUCAACCUGCCCUUCAAACGGGGACAACAGUUGGAAACGACUGCUAAUACCGCAACCUGAAGGACGGGAUUGGGUUUGAUUUGCUAGUUGGAGGGGUACCGGCCCACCAAGGCGAUGAGCAGUAGCCGGUCGGGGGGGAUGAACGGCCACAUUGGGACUGAGACACGGCCCAGACUCCUACGGGAGGCAGCAGUGGGGAAUCUUCCGCAAUGGACGAAAGUCUGACGGAGCAACGCCGCGUGAGGGAUGACGGCCUUCGGGUUGUAAAGCUCUGUUAAUCGGGGCGCGGUACCGGAAUAGAAAGCCACGGCUAACUCCGUGCCAGCCGCCGCGGUAAUUC